CCUGAUGCAGCGACGCCGCGUGAGGGAUGACGGCCUUCGGGUUGUAAACCUCUUUCAAUAGGGACGAAGCGCAAGUGACGGUACCUAUAGAAGAAGGACCGGCCAACUACGUGCCAGCAGCCGCGGUAAUACGUAGGGUCCGAGCGUUGUCCGGAAUUACUGGGCGUAAAGAGCUCGUAGGUGGUUUGUCGCGUUGUUCGUGAAAACUCACAGCUCAACUGUGGGCGUGCGGGCGAUACGGGCAGACUAGAGUACUGCAGGGGAGACUGGAAUUCCUGGUGUAGCGGUGGAAUGCGCAGAUAUCAGGAGGAACACCGGUGGCGAAGGCGGGUCUCUGGGCAGUAACUGACGCUGAGGAGCGAAAGCGUGGGGAGCGAACAGGAUUAGAUACCCUGGUAGUCCACGCCGUAAACGGUGGGUACUAGGUGUGGGUUUCCUUCCUUGGGAUCCGUGCCGUAGCUAACGCAUUAAGUACCCCGCCUGGGGAGUACGGCCGCAAGGCUAAAACUCAAAGAAAUUGACGGGGGCCCGCACAAGCGGCGGAGCAUGUGGAUUAAUUCGAUGCAACGCGAAGAACCUUACCUGGGUUUGACAUGCACAGGACGCCGGCAGAGAUGUCGGUUCCCUUGUGGCCUGUG
Molecule: ribosomal RNA, 638 nt
Filed under: Mycobacterium sp. So3Ps_1893
Lineage: Bacteria; Bacillati; Actinomycetota; Actinomycetes; Mycobacteriales; Mycobacteriaceae
Description: bacterial SSU rRNA
Rfam family: Bacterial small subunit ribosomal RNA
Source: RNAcentral